CAGGAUGAACGCUAGCGGCAGGCUUAACACAUGCAAGUCGAGGGGCAUCGGGAGGGAAGCUUGCUUUCCUUGCCGGCGACCGGCGCACGGGUGAGUAACACGUAUGCAACCUGCCCUCUUCAGGGGGACAACCUUCCGAAAGGGAGGCUAAUCCCGCGUAUAUCGGUUUCGGGCAUCCGAGAUCGAGGAAAGAUUCAUCGGAAGAGGAUGGGCAUGCGGCGCAUUAGCUAGACGGCGGGGUAACGGCCCACCGUGGCGACGAUGCGUAGGGGUUCUGAGAGGAAGGUCCCCCACACUGGUACUGAGACACGGACCAAACUCCUACGGGAGGCAGCAGUGGGGAAUAUUGGUCAAUGGGAGAGAUCCUGAACCAGCCAAGCCGCGUGAGGGAAGACGGCCCUAUGGGUUGUAAACCUCUUUUGUCGGAGAACAAAACCCGGGACGAGUCCCGGACUGCGUGUAUCCGAAGAAAAAGCAUCGGCUAACCCCGUGCCAGCAGCCGCGGUAAUACGGAGGAUGCGAGCGUUAUCCGGAUUUAUUGGGUUUAAAGGGUGCGUAGGCGGUCCGUUAAGUCAGCGGUAAAAUUGCGGGGCUCAACCCCGUCGAGCCGUUGAAACUGGCAGACUUGAGUUGGCGAGAAGUACGCGGAAUGCGCGGUGUAGCGGUGAAAUGCAUAGAUAUAGCGCAGAACUCCGAUUGCGAAGGCAGCGUACCGGCGCCAGACUGACGCUGAGGCACAAAAGCGUGGGGAUCGAACAGGAUUAGAUACCCUGGUAGUCCACGCAGUAAACGAUGAAUGCUGGUUGUCCGGGUCGAAUGAGAUCUGGGCGGCGAAGCGAAAGCGAUAAGCAUUCCACCUGGGGAGUACGCCGGCAACGGUGAAACUCAAAGGAAUUGACGGGGGCCCGCACAAGCGGAGGAACAUGUGGUUUAAUUCGAUGAUACGCGAGGAACCUUACCCGGGCUCAAACGGGAGUGGAAUGGACCAGAGACGGUUCAGCCUACGGGCCGCUUCCGAGGUGCUGCAUGGUUGUCGUCAGCUCGUGCCGUGAGGUGUCGGCUUAAGCGCCAUAACGAGCGCAACCCCCGCCGGCAGUUGCUAACGGGCAAUGCCGAGGACUCUGCCGGGACUGCCGGCGCAAGCCGCGAGGAAGGCGGGGAUGACGUCAAAUCAGCACGGCCCUUACGUCCGGGGCGACACACGUGUUACAAUGGGGGGUACAGCGGGAAGCCAGGCGGCGACGCCGAGCGGAACCCGAAAGCCCCUCUCAGUUCGGAUCGGAGUCUGCAACCCGACUCCGUGAAGCUGGAUUCGCUAGUAAUCGCGCAUCAGCCAUGGCGCGGUGAAGGGGUUCCCGGGCCUUGCACACACCGCCCGUCA
This 1381-nucleotide ribosomal RNA is filed under the name uncultured bacterium. RNAcentral describes it as "bacterial SSU rRNA". It matches the Rfam family "Bacterial small subunit ribosomal RNA", at positions 25 to 1399 of the family's 1533-position model. The record is from RNAcentral.